This 697-nucleotide long non-coding RNA is filed under the name Capsicum annuum. RNAcentral's name for it is "long non-coding RNA (CANN_LNC011365)". The record is from RNAcentral. Lineage: Eukaryota; Viridiplantae; Streptophyta; Magnoliopsida; Solanales; Solanaceae.
UAUCUUAUAUCGAGGAAAAAGGAAAUUUUAAUCAAUGGAAAGUUCCCCUAAGUCAAACGUGUUUGCCCUUUGUUUUUCCUAAAGUUCUUACCUUAUUCCUAUCUUUGAUCUUAAUAAACUUCUCAUAGCAUCUGUGUUAUGUCUUAUGAAGAGAGUGAGCUAACGAUUAUGGAAAAAUCUAGGGGUGAGGGUGGUAGGAUACAUCCCAACCAUCCAUUCUUCUCAAUUGUAGUUUCAAUUUCUUCCAUUGAAAAUGUGAUUCCGACCACAUCCAUCAUAAGACAAGUUGGAAUCUUGUACCCAGAUGUUCUCCUAAUCCACUUUUACAAAAUCUUUUAUACUAGGUCAUAAGCUGCAUCUAAGGUGCCUGACUGUUAUAUGGAAGCCCUAUGGAGGGACUCUUACUCACUUUAGAUGGGAACCUCACACGAGGGAAAACCUCGCUUGAUGAGGAUACAUUUCUGUUGGGGACAAAAGUGUCGGUCGAUUUCUUUUUUAGAAAUUAUAGAAGACCUAGAUUUCUAAUUACUAUUAUCUUAUCCAUCAAUUCAUCUGAUACCUUCACGUGAUAUAGAAAUAGGAGUCCCUUCCCCUCUGAGAGUUUUAAUAGGCCACGAGUUCCUAAGUCCAACCUAUUUUAGAUAUUCGAUGGUAGUGUAUUUUUUUAUUGUUACUUUAGUCUACUUUGUAUGUUUUG